Rhopalosiphum maidis (corn leaf aphid) is the source of this 329-nucleotide long non-coding RNA. RefSeq lists it as uncharacterized. The record is from RefSeq and is a predicted model, not a curated record. The transcript has 3 exons. NCBI's taxonomy places the organism in Eukaryota, Metazoa, Arthropoda, Insecta, Hemiptera, Aphididae.
UUCAACUGUAAACUACUUUUGAGAAGUUUGUAAUAAGAAUGAAAUAAGUCUUUUAGUUUUUAUAUGAUUGUUUCCAUUUCAUAAAUAAUUCAAUGUUGUCCACAUAGUAGUUGUCGUAUAAUGAUAUUCGUUCUCUUUCUAAUGGCAGUACAGCAGAUCACUGAAGGGAUGCUGAGACAUGAAUUGGGAUUCUUACCACACUCAAAAGAGUCAAUAUCAUACCUUGAAAUGUAACUAGAAGAAACUGAUAAUAAUAAUGAUUCUAUGCAAUAUUGCAGUGCAGCAGUUCACUCAAGGCUUGCUGAGACAGGAAUUUGCAUUCAUACCAC